Brassica napus (rape) is the source of this 685-nucleotide long non-coding RNA. RefSeq lists it as uncharacterized. The transcript has 2 exons. NCBI's taxonomy places the organism in Eukaryota, Viridiplantae, Streptophyta, Magnoliopsida, Brassicales, Brassicaceae. The record is from RefSeq and is a predicted model, not a curated record.
AGCGUUGACACGGACUUUCCUCAUCUCUGGGCUUGUUAUAGGUCUUGAUUUGCUUCUCAAGGUAACCAUUGUGUUCAUUAACUGUGAUAUGUUACUUUUCAGAUCAUGUUGAUGAGAUAUAUGCCAAACGUGUACUGUCUGGUUAGCUCUUGCGGCAAACGGCGCUCACUUUGGCUUAUGGUAAAACACUUAUCCUAUAUAAAUAUCAUCUAGUCAGACUUCUCUUGUUUCUUUAUGUAAGGAAAUAACAUUUGAAAAAUGCUGGGAGGCUGUAUGGGAUCACAAGUGUUUGUUACCACUCCUAUCUUCCUCUUCUCUAUGUUACUUUCCUAGCAGACUUCUUCCAUGAGGAAGAUGUGAACUUGGAGAAUGUCUACUAUUCAGAGAUGAAAGAUGCUGGAUUCUUUGACGCUGAUUGGGAAUAAUCAUAACCUGUAUAUACAAUGUGAAUAGGAUUGUCUAUAAAUUGUCAUCUUAGGGACUACUCUUUGACUUUAUGUAUGUGUUAAUACAAGAUUCCCUAAUCUCGCAUUUGGCAUUUCGAUUUAAGAAAGAACAAGAACAAGCUUUCAUGUGUAAACCAAAAGUUUUCAGUCGACAAAUAGAGAGAGAUCCAUGGCAAACAGAUACUACUUUAAACCAACAGAGUCGCUUGACACAUUAAAAAAAAAGAAAAUGACAGAAA